CAGGGGAGAGGCAGAGAGAGAUGGGGACAGAGGAUCCCAAGCGGGCUCUGCACUGACACCAUGGAACCUGAUGCGGGAGCUCGAACUCAGGAGCCAUGAGAUCAUGACAUGAGCUGAAGUCGGACGCUCAGAUGACUGAGCCACCCAGGGGCCCCAUCCCAGACUGUUUUUCUAUAUCUCUUUUGAGCUAUCAGGAUUACCUGGUGCUUAUUAAACUGUUCUUUCAGUGACUUAAUACUGUGGAGGGAGGGCUUGAACUGAGCCUGAGGUAAACCCUUGCUCAGAGACUCACCCCAGGUUGAAUGGACCUUUCCUCACAGACCACCCCCCCCCCCCAGAUAACUUUCCCAGGGCCCCUGCAGGGGCUCCCCAUGGCUUCCAAGUCCCCCUUAAUUAUUUGUUUUAAAGUAGAGCAUUCCUUUAACUGCUGGGAGAAGUUGCUUCUUCCCACAAACGUCACCCUCCUGUAGGCAGGCAAGGCAGCCUCUCGGUUUUAUUCUCUUCGUCUGACAUCCAGCUCCAGGACCUCUGGGGCAUAGAUACCCCCUGUGAGGACAAUGAUGGCGUCUGUGGUGUGGCCAUGAGAAGAGACUGCUGGUACACAGACAAUUUCUUAUCUGGUUUCUCACCCUUCUUCCACAUAAGGCAGGAAGGCCCCUGGGGGUUGCUCAUGCUUGAUUCACACCAAAGGGUAUGAAAGAAUCCACUCUGGGCUUGGGGCCUACCAGCCUCAGGCCCGGAGGAAGCUUGCUGGAGGUGAGGGCAGAGAGGGAAUGGAAGGGGCCUGGAACUGCAGCCCCUGGGGAGCGUGCAGUGUAGCCUGAACAAGCAGAGAUGAUGUGCUGACGACACAGGUGUGAGCUCUGCCACCCGAGAACCUUGUUUCCUCAUUCAGAAGUGUGGCUAGCGCUCUCAGUGCUGAGGGUGGGUAUGAGAACUCAGAGUUCACAGCAGGGCCUGGGCACAGGAGGAACUCUCUAAAGGGGUUUUCGUUCCUCUUCUUUGGGACAGACACAGAAAUGAACUUGACACUGGUGAGGAAGACAGGGCCUGUUGGCAGAGACCCCAGGGAAGGUCCUGGAGGGGCUGGGACAGACUCUACUCGCCAUAGCCCAUCCCUGGAGGCCCCAGAUCUCCUAAGAGACUCCAGGAGCUGAGAGGUCAGCCCUGCCCUCCUGGCCUCACACUCAGAGGGCCCUCUGAGCGGCUCUGUGGACACAGCGAGCCCUGUACACGGGGCAGAUGGCUGCCCAGAGGAGGGGCUGGCAGGGAGAAGGGGUGAGGCCUGACCACUGAGGAAGGAAUGACGAGAAUGAGGCUCUGACUCAUCCUCAGGCUUCUGCUCUCAGAAGGAAAGGAUUUACUUGGGGGUGUGGCUGGAAGGGAGCCAAGCCGGAGGACGCAGUGAAAAACGAGGGUGCUUAAGGCCUCUUAGCUCCGGGAUAAAUCAUCCUGGGAAGGGCCCGUUCAAAAACACAACUCUAUCAGUGGUCUCUGCUUUCUUCUGAGCCAUCCUUCCCAAUGGAAGUGGUGGUAGGAGGCCCCACUGGCCAGGUCAGGCAGGAUGCCUUUCCCGAGCCCUGGGCAGAGUCCUGUUGUGGGUACCAUCCCCCAGAAGGCAGGCAGACUUGGGGUUCCAGAUCCACUUGGGCAGAGCCAGUGUUUGCCAUCACAUCUUGUUCUCUCUACUCUCUACUCUCCUCUCUACUCGUCCCCACCUCACCAAGCCAACAGGGGACUGUUUAAUGGGACAGCUUUUUCUAUAUGGCACAAACAGUCCUAAAUAGCACAGAGGAACUUAUGGACCAGUAGUGGUGAUCCUGGGUAUCAAUUUGUGUGCGUUAUUUGCAUAGGGGUAGGUAGGUAGGCCUCUGAGGAGGAAGUUUGGUGAGUAGUAGAGGUGGGGCAGGGAGAGAAGAAAGGGGCACAGGCCUGACCUUCUGUAUCACUAGAAUUUUGGUUGGAAGUAAAAGCAAAUCCUAUUUUUUGCUUAAUGCUGGCCUUGGAAAUGAAGUCCAAGUGGUGGGGCUGGCUUCAGAUAAGGCUUCAUCAGGAACUCUAAAUGAUGUCAUCAAGACCCGGUGUUCCCUGUUGUCUUUGGCCUCAGCUCCUCUCCAGGUAACAGCUCAAGCCAGGACAGGUUCCACACCUUGGGGGCAAGAUGCCUGCAGAAGCUUUGAGCCUCACGCCCUCUCCCCCCAGGGCAAAGAACCAGUCUGCUUUGCUGAGAGCUCAAAAUGCUGGAACUGAGUUUCACUGGCUCUGAUUGGUCUGACUUUGGUCGUGUACCCAUCCCUUAACCGGUGACAACCAGGGGGAUGGAGUAUACUAAGAGGGGGUGGGACACAGUCUCCUCGGGAUCCAGAUGUGGGUGUGUGGGACCGGGAUCUUCACAGGGAGCGUGGUCAUGAUGGCGAAGGAGGUGGUUAUCCUGGAAUCAUAACCUGAGUAGGGGCUGUUACUAAUCACUGCGGAAGUCGAGGCUCUAGGUUGAGCUUUUAGGAGCGUCCCCGUAAGUCACACUGAGGAACUGGGCCACCAAGAGAGCGGCGGCUGUGUCUUCUGCAAUCAGAAGGCACUGCCAACAAUGCAUUCAGAAGACACCCCAGUCGUGAAACCGCUCUUCCAGCGGCUCCAGAAGCACGGUGUGCCUGACAUGAUCCAGGCACACUGGGUGCCCACGUCCUUCCUCUCAACACCCACCAAGCCAGCACCUGGACCCUUGAGUUUUGCUGACACCAUUGAGAAAAUUUCAACCUACUGAAAAAUUAGAAGAAUACAAUGAGCACCUAUGAACGUUUCACCUAGAUUCGUCAACCAUUGACAUUUUGCCACAUUUGCUUUCUUUCCCUCUCUCUUACAGGAAGUUAGUUGCAAGUUUGCUGACGAUUUCCUCUGACCAGAUGAGCUAUUAUCUCACAAAAGCAAGGAUGUUCUCCUCUAUUAUCACUAUUAUCACACUCAAUAAAUUUAAAUAAAU
Long non-coding RNA from Neofelis nebulosa (Clouded leopard), 2980 nucleotides. RefSeq lists it as uncharacterized. The record is from RefSeq and is a predicted model, not a curated record. The transcript is spliced from 3 exons. Lineage: Eukaryota; Metazoa; Chordata; Mammalia; Carnivora; Felidae.